GACGAACGCUGGCGGCAGGCCUAACACAUGCAAGUCGAACGAGUGGCGGACGGGUGAGUAAUGCUUGGGAAUCUGGCUGAUGGAGGGGGAUAACUACGGGAAACGGUAGCUAAUACCGCGUACCAUAAGAUGAGCCCAAGUGGGAUUAGGUAGUUGGUGGGGUAAAGGCUCACCAAGCCGACGAUCCCUAGCUGGUCUGAGAGGAUGACCAGCCACACUGGGACUGAGACACGGCCCAGACUCCUACGGGAGGCAGCAGUGGGGAAUAUUGCGCAAUGGGGGCAACCUGACGCAGCCAUGCCGCGUGAAUGAAGAAGGCCUUCGGGUUGUAAAGUUCUUUCAGUAGCGAGGCGUUAACUACAGAAGAAGCACCGGCUAACUCCGUGCCAGCAGCCGCGGUAAUUC
Molecule: ribosomal RNA, 405 nt
Filed under: uncultured bacterium
Lineage: Bacteria
Description: partial 16S ribosomal RNA
Rfam family: Bacterial small subunit ribosomal RNA
Source: RNAcentral